RNAcentral lists this unclassified non-coding RNA (376 nucleotides) under soil metagenome. Its description in RNAcentral is "partial contains 5.8S ribosomal RNA, internal transcribed spacer 2, and large subunit ribosomal RNA". The stretch from base 1 to 120 matches the Rfam family "5.8S ribosomal RNA", at positions 35 to 154 of the family's 154-position model. The record is from RNAcentral.
GAUGAAGAACGUAGUGAAAUGCGAUAAGUAAUGUGAAUUGCAGAAUUCAGUGAAUCAUCGAAUCUUUGAACGCAUCUUGCGCUCCUUGGUAUUCUGAGGAGCAUGCCUGUUUGAGUGUCAUUAAAUUCUCAACUACACUGACUUUGAAUUGGUGUGGCUUGGAUUUGGGGGGAAAAUUGUUGUGGGCUUUUUGUAUAGUCUGCUCCCCUGAAAUUGAUUAGCGGUACCUUUGUGGAACUGUCUACAGGUGUGAUAAUUAUCUACAUCUUAGACAUCUGCUGGAAUGCUGCUUUCUACCCCUUACUUGUAUUGACAAUCUUGACCUCAAAUCAGGUAGGACUACCCGCUGAACUUAAGCAUAUCAAUAAGCGGAGGA